UUGAAGAGUUUGAUCAUGGCUCAGAUUGAACGCUGGCGGCAGGCCUAACACAUGCAAGUCGAGCGGUAGCACAGAGAGCUUGCUCUCGGGUGACGAGCGGCGGACGGGUGAGUAAUGUCUGGGAAACUGCCUGAUGGAGGGGGAUAACUACUGGAAACGGUAGCUAAUACCGCAUAACGUCGCAAGACCAAAGUGGGGGACCUUCGGGCCUCAUGCCAUCAGAUGUGCCCAGAUGGGAUUAGCUGGUAGGUGGGGUAACGGCUCACCUAGGCGACGAUCCUAGCUGGUCUGAGAGGAUGACCAGCCACACUGGAACUGAGACACGGUCCAGACUCCUACGGGAGGCAGCAGUGGGGAAUAUUGCACAAUGGGCGCAAGCCUGAUGCAGCCAUGCCGCGUGUGUGAAGAAGGCCUUCGGGUUGUAAAGCACUUUCAGCGGGGAGGAAGGCGAUAAGGUUAAUAACCUUGUCGAUUGACGUUACCCGCAGAAGAAGCACCGGCUAACUCCGUGCCAGCAGCCGCGGUAAUACGGAGGGUGCAAGCGUUAAUCGGAAUUACUGGGCGUAAAGCGCACGCAGGCGGUCUGUCAAGUCGGAUGUGAAAUCCCCGGGCUCAACCUGGGAACUGCAUUCGAAACUGGCAGGCUAGAGUCUUGUAGAGGGGGGGUAGAAUUCCAGGUGUAGCGGUGAAAUGCGUAGAGAUCUGGAGGAAUACCGGUGGCGAAGGCGGCCCCCUGGACAAAGACUGACGCUCAGGUGCGAAAGCGUGGGGAGCAAACAGGAUUAGAUACCCUGGUAGUCCACGCUGUAAACGAUGUCGAUUUGGAGGUUGUGCCCUUGAGGCGUGGCUUCCGGAGCUAACGCGUUAAAUCGACCGCCUGGGGAGUACGGCCGCAAGGUUAAAACUCAAAUGAAUUGACGGGGGCCCGCACAAGCGGUGGAGCAUGUGGUUUAAUUCGAUGCAACGCGAAGAACCUUACCUGGUCUUGACAUCCACAGAACUUUCCAGAGAUGGAUUGGUGCCUUCGGGAACUGUGAGACAGGUGCUGCAUGGCUGUCGUCAGCUCGUGUUGUGAAAUGUUGGGUUAAGUCCCGCAACGAGCGCAACCCUUAUCCUUUGUUGCCAGCGGUUAGGCCGGGAACUCAAAGGAGACUGCCAGUGAUAAACUGGAGGAAGGUGGGGAUGACGUCAAGUCAUCAUGGCCCUUACGACCAGGGCUACACACGUGCUACAAUGGCAUAUACAAAGAGAAGCGACCUCGCGAGAGCAAGCGGACCUCAUAAAGUAUGUCGUAGUCCGGAUUGGAGUCUGCAACUCGACUCCAUGAAGUCGGAAUCGCUAGUAAUCGUAGAUCAGAAUGCUACGGUGAAUACGUUCCCGGGCCUUGUACACACCGCCCGUCACACCAUGGGAGUGGGUUGCAAAAGAAGUAGGUAGCUUAACCUUCGGGAGGGCGCUUACCACUUUGUGAUUCAUGACUGGGGUGAAGUCGUAACAAGGUAACCGUAGGGGAACCUGCGGUUGGAUCACCUCCUU
This 1536-nucleotide ribosomal RNA is filed under the name Klebsiella variicola. RNAcentral describes it as "bacterial SSU rRNA". It matches the Rfam family "Bacterial small subunit ribosomal RNA". The record is from RNAcentral. Lineage: Bacteria; Pseudomonadati; Pseudomonadota; Gammaproteobacteria; Enterobacterales; Enterobacteriaceae.